RNAcentral lists this ribosomal RNA (493 nucleotides) under uncultured bacterium. Its description in RNAcentral is "partial 16S ribosomal RNA". It matches the Rfam family "Bacterial small subunit ribosomal RNA", at positions 28 to 523 of the family's 1533-position model. The record is from RNAcentral.
GUUGAACGCUGGCGGCAUGCUUUACACAUGCAAGUCGAACGGUAACAGGUUAAGCUGACGAGUGGCGAACGGGUGAGUAAUGCAUCGGAACGUGCCCGAUCGUGGGGGAUAACGCAGCGAAAGCUGCGCUAAUACCGCAUACGACCUGAGGAUGAAAGCGGGGGACCGUAAGGCCUCGCGCGAUCGGAGCGGCCGAUGUCAGAUUAGGUAGUUGGUGGGGUAAAGGCUCACCAAGCCGACGAUCUGUAGCUGGUCUGAGAGGACGACCAGCCACACUGGGACUGAGACACGGCCCAGACUCCUACGGGAGGCAGCAGUGGGGAAUUUUGGACAAUGGGCGCAAGCCUGAUCCAGCAAUGCCGCGUGCAGGAAGAAGGCCUUCGGGUUGUAAACUGCUUUUGUACGGAGCGAAAAGGCUCUCUCUAAUACAGGGGGCUCAUGACGGUACCGUAAGAAUAAGCACCGGCUAACUACGUGCCAGCCGCCGCGGUAA